Molecule: ribosomal RNA, 460 nt
Filed under: uncultured bacterium
Lineage: Bacteria
Description: partial 16S ribosomal RNA
Rfam family: Bacterial small subunit ribosomal RNA
Source: RNAcentral
CCUACGGGAGGCAGCAGUUAGGAAUAUUGGUCAAUGGGCUUACGCCUGAACCAGCCAAGUCGCGUGAGGGCAGACUGCCCUAUGGGUUGUAAACCUCUUUUGUCAGGGAGCAACGCCGGCUACGUGUAGCCGGACUGAGAGUACCUGAAGAAAACGCAUCGGCUAACUCGGUGCCCGCAGCCGCGGUAAUACGGAGGAUGCGAGCGUUAGCCGGAUUGAUUGGGUUUAAAGGGUGCGUAGGCGGAAUGCCAAGUCAGCGGUAAAAUCGCGGGGCUCAACCUCGCUCCGCCGUUGAAACUGGCGUUCUUGAGUGGGCGAGAAGUAUGCGGAAUGCGUGGUGUAGCGGUGAAAUGCAUAGAUAUCACGCAGAACUCCGAGUGCGAAGGCAGCAUACCGGCGCCCAACUGACGCUGAAGCACGAAAGCGUGGGUAUCGAACAGGAUUAGAUACCCCGGUAGUC